GAUGAAGAACGCAGCGAAAUGCUAUAAGUAGUGUGAAUUGCAGAAUUCAGUGAAUCAUCGAAUCUUUGAACGCACAUUGCGCCCUUUGGUAUUCCAAAGGGCAUGCCUGUUCGAGCGUCAUUUGUACCCUCAAGCUUUGCUUGGUGUUGGGCGUCUUGUCUCUAGCUUUGCUGGAGACUCGCCUUAAAGUAAUUGGCAGCCGGCCUACUGGUUUCGGAGCGCAGCACAAGUCGCACUCUCUAUCAGCAAAGGUCUAGCAUCCAUUAAGCCUUUUUUUCAACUUUUGACCUCGGAUCAGGUAGGGAUACCCGCUGAACUUAAGCAUAUCAAUAAGCGGAGGA
RNAcentral lists this unclassified non-coding RNA (341 nucleotides) under soil metagenome. Its description in RNAcentral is "partial contains 5.8S ribosomal RNA, internal transcribed spacer 2, and large subunit ribosomal RNA". The stretch from base 1 to 120 matches the Rfam family "5.8S ribosomal RNA", at positions 35 to 154 of the family's 154-position model. The record is from RNAcentral.